ACUGGGGGGACUCCUGGAACCAUAACCACUGGAGUGUUUUGUAGUGGUUAUGGUACUUGGAGUCUUCCCUUA
Molecule: non-coding RNA, 72 nt
Organism: Pelobates cultripes (western spadefoot toad)
Lineage: Eukaryota; Metazoa; Chordata; Amphibia; Anura; Pelobatidae
Source: the annotation of a GenBank genome assembly